AAAAGUUGAGUUUGACUCGCUAACUGUGAUAACUCUGUAGGCAUUACUUCGAACAAGCGAAAUUAUCGAAUACAAAUGAAAGCCCUUCUACGAGUCGUCAGCCUAGUCAUUAUUAACGUCGUCGUGAUUAUUAUCACGCCGUGCGGGGCUACGCUCGGAGAAAGAAAGGCUUAAAAAUCAAGCCUGAUUUCGAAAGAACCCCCGCACCGAAAGGUCCGGGGGUUUUUUUUUGGCAGGUUAUCAAUGACAGAGGAACAGAUUAUGAACAGUAGAAUAAAAUGCUGUUGUUCCCAGCCAGAG
Erwinia billingiae is the source of this 300-nucleotide regulatory RNA element. It matches the Rfam family "Soft rot Enterobacteriaceae Rev 39 5'UTR". Rfam says of the family: From bacteria cultured under starvation conditions. NCBI's taxonomy places the organism in Bacteria, Pseudomonadati, Pseudomonadota, Gammaproteobacteria, Enterobacterales, Erwiniaceae. The record is from Rfam.